RNAcentral lists this ribosomal RNA (488 nucleotides) under uncultured bacterium. RNAcentral describes it as "bacterial SSU rRNA". It matches the Rfam family "Bacterial small subunit ribosomal RNA", at positions 903 to 1397 of the family's 1533-position model. The record is from RNAcentral.
AAAUGAAUUGACGGGGGCCCGCACAAGCAGUGGAGUAUGUGGUUUAAUUCGAAGCAACGCGAAGAACCUUACCAGGUCUUGACAUCCUGAGAAUCCUUAAGAGAUUAGGGAGUGCCUUCGGGAACUCAGAGACAGGUGGUGCAUGGUUGUCGUCAGCUCGUGUCGUGAGAUGUUGGGUUAAGUCCCGCAACGAGCGCAACCCUUGCUAUUAGUUGCUACGCAAGAGCACUCUAAUAGGACUGCCGUUGACAAAACGGAGGAAGGUGGGGACGACGUCAAAUCAUCAUGCCCCUUAUGACCUGGGCUACACACGUACUACAAUGGCCAUUAACAGAGGGAAGCAAAACCGCGAGGCAGAGCAAACCCCUAAAAAUGGUCCCAGUUCGGAUUGUAGGCUGCAACCCGCCUACAUGAAGUUGGAAUUGCUAGUAAUCGCGGAUCAGCAUGCCGCGGUGAAUACGUUCCCGGGCCUUGUACACACCGCCCGU